GUAUAACUGAGGUUCAACUGCAGUAUAACUGAGGUUCAACUGCAGUAUAACUGAGGUUCAACUGCAGUAUAACUGAGGUUCAACUGCAGUAUAACUGAGGUUCAACUGCAGUAUAACUGAGGUUCAACUGCAGUAUAACUGAGGUUCAACUGCAGUAUAACUGAGGUUUAACUGCAGUAUAACUGAGGUUCAACUGCAGUAUAACUGAGGUUCAACUGCAGUAUAACUGAGGUUCAACUGCAGUAUAACUGAGGUUCAACUGCAGUAUAACUGAGGUUCAACUGCAGUAUAACUGAGGUUCAACUGCAGUAUAACUGAGGUUCAACUGCAGUACACUGCAGUUAUUCUGUAAUUACUGCAUCCAAAAUACCACAGUUGACUGACUGGUUACUGCACUUUUACUGCAGUUUCAAAACGGCAACCUUUUUUUUGUAAGGAGAGGAGUAACUAACGUUACAAAGAACUGUGAAACAGACACAUAACAGUGUUACCAAGUUGUAAGCAGAGCCAUAUAUAUUAUAACAUACAUAGAUUUCAACAGGGCUCUGGCUCUAAUGAUCUGUUAUGUAAGGGAUAAUCAACCAGAGGCUAUGGGUUCUAUGGAAAAUAAUGAACGAUGUGGAAGGUGUGUUCCAGCUGACUUUCCACUUUUCCAGUAUGCAUAGAGCCCCAAGUUGAUUAUCCCUUUUAUACCAGGGCUAUAAUUGAACACAUUUGCUGCUAGAAAUGUGUUAAUUGGCCAGUAGAAAUGUGUUUAACAUCCACUGAAGGUAGCUAGCAAGUUUACUAGACAGCGACAGUGGUUGCCUUGGUAACCGAACAAACUGACUCGCUAGUUUAGCGAACUAAACCAUCAGUACUAGUUCGCCAUUAUGAAAAUCGAAUUCAAACAUGCCAAUAAUGUUUAUUGAACUUUUGCUUUCAAAAGCAACUCAAACAUAUAACAUGUAAGAACGCACCUUUCUAUCGUGCAAAUAUACCGUGAGUUAUACGGAAAUAAUGCACGCUCUAGAAUGCCCUUCAAGCCAAUCAGAAACACAUAUUCAAUGCUAUGGUAUAACAUCAUAAUGAUACAUUUUUUUAUCCCUGAACUAAAACAUCAGCAAGACCGUCCACCUUCCUGUGGCUUUGUCAAGGGAGCACAGUAGGUUUCGCAGUACCCCCACCCCUAAUUCCUCUGUCAUUUGUAAAGGGGGGUUGUCUUCAUCUUUGAACCCCCACAGAGAGCAGCUUCCUGUGGGGCGGUCAUCAGCCGUUAUUCAAUGGCUCCAGGGAAGCACUGUAACACUGUUCUAGAAGAUCCAACCAGCCGAUGAGCAAGCAGAUGGAGGACCAAAGCAGCCAAUGAGAGAGCAGCAAUGAGACCAAGUCUGUCAUUUUUUCAUUUUUUUGUCUCUUUUUCCUUUUCACCAAAUGACUUGACGCUACUGAACGUCAAUGGUGAUUUGAGCAAAUACGUUAUUAAUAAUUGUCAUAAGUGUAGAUGUUAUAUAUCUCUAAUACAUCUAUAUUAUCAGUCACAUACUGCUUGGUUGUGGUCCUCUCAGGACUCUGUCAUCGUUCCUACAGCUAUCUCUCUGUCUCUCUCUGGAGUAAUAAUACAAAGUAAGAGAAGGAACCAUUAAGGUGUUUGUCUGCAUCCGAAAUGGCACCCUGUUCCCUAUGUUUUCCACUAUUGUUGACCAGGGCACAUAGGGAAUAGGCUGUCAUUUGGAAUGUAGAUGUUGAGUCACUACGAUACAAGGCAUUGGCUCAUACAGGGUCAUCAGGUCCUUGAGAUCCCAGGUCUGAACACCUGGUAGUCAUACUAGGAGAGGAGGUAUACUCCUUCCUGUCAUGGAGAAGACCCCUUCAAUCCUUCUUUCACUGCCUCUCUCCAUCUUCACUGCUCCCU
This is a long non-coding RNA of Oncorhynchus tshawytscha (Chinook salmon), 1894 nucleotides long. Lineage: Eukaryota; Metazoa; Chordata; Actinopteri; Salmoniformes; Salmonidae. The record is from Ensembl.